UUUUUUUUUUUUUUUUUUCCUGCUUUUUUAGGGCCACACAUGUGGCACAUGGAAGUUCCCAGGCUAGGGGUCUAAUCAGAGCUACAGCUGCCAGCCUAUACCACAGCCACAGCAAUGCCAGAUUCAAGCCACAUGUGCAAACCACAUAGGCUCAUGACAACGCCAAAUUCUUAACCCACUGAGAGAGGCCAGGGAUUGAACCUGCAACCUCCUGGUUCCUAGUCAGAUUCGUUUCUGCUGCGCCAUGACGGGAACUCCUUUGUCAGGAAUUUUCUUUCUACCUACCCAUGCUUUUCAGUUCUUUCUCUGCUCUUCUGAGAUACAUGUAAAUUCUUUUAAAAACCUCUUGGCAGUUUUACUCCCCAGUAAUAGCUUUUUAAGGGUCUGGGAGACAUCUUCUGAAAUGUAAUCAUUUAGGAAGACAGCACCCAUACCCCCAUUCUCCGUUGCAGGGCAGGAGCCUAACUUUCAUAAGUACCAAAUAGCAAAUAGAUAGCUUAAUCACAAAGAAAAAUUUUACAAACUUAGAAAACAACUCAUUGUGCUCCACACAUCCCAUUGAUCAACCUCCUCCAUAACUUCCUCCAGUAUUUUCUACUAGCUCAUCCCAGCCUUCCCUGAAAAGCCAUCCAACAGUUGUUUAAGCAGAGUCAAAUUUAGACUGACAUAUAGCUUUUGUCCACUAUUGCAACAGCUUUGAGCAAAAUCUCCCUUGUCUACAUUUUCCUGUGCAAUUCUUACUUUGAAAACAUUUAUCAGAUCUAAAUAAAAUCACCUGUAACUUUGGAUAACAUUAUGCGAUCUUUGAACAUCCAUGGGGAAGGACCCAAGAGUGUCAGAAAGACAUAACCUAAAUAAAUAAACUAAGCACAGAAAGGGACUAUGUGUAUAUGCUCGGAUCUUUGGAUCUUUAACACAAGUAAGUGAUAUUUAAUGCUACCAACACCAAUGAAAAUAGAAAUAAAAGUGAUUAAAGGUAAAUUUCAUGACCAUUUGUUGAAAUGAGAAAAUACCCUGCGUCAAAAAACAAUGAUUGAUAAUUAUAAAAUAUUUAAGAAAUCCCCCCCUUUUUUUAAACUAUAAGGACAGGUAAGGGCACUGUUUCUUAGUUUUAUUUUAGUAGUGUAUCACUCUGAAGCUAUUUACAAAGAAAUAAACUAGGUACAACAAUACAAUGUCAGUUAACUUGCCCAAAAGCUAUUUGUUUUUCCUCUUGAGAAAACAAACAAACAAACAAACAAACACCUAUGGGAAUCUUAGUUAAUGGAGUAAAUUGAGAUGAAUUUAAUAAACAUUUAUUGAUUUUUAUGUGUCAACCACUGCUAAGUUCUGAGACAAUGAACAAAGUGUCACUCUUGUUUGGAAAAACACAAAACACUCUCCUUAGUUGAUAGUUACAUAAAAAUAUUGUGGUGCUUUAUUGUGGUAAAUGCAAUGGUAGAUAUUCAUGAGAUGACAGAGAACACUUAUCUCAAUCUGAGGUUUAAUGGAAAUUUUCUGAGAGGGUUUCUCUCUAAAAGAGUUAAAUCUGGAUAAAAAUAAACAAGUUAUCCCAAUGAUGAAGUUGGGAGAGAGUUUUAACAUGACAUCAAGUUAUUUUUCCUUGAAUGACUAGGUGGUACUAUCAAAUGAGAUUGGGCAAGGAUUUAAAAAAAAAAAUAGAUGUAAGUUGAUGUGUUUGAGAAAGUUGUGGAAAUGCCCAGUGGAUAUGUCUAGCUAUAAAUGCAUAUAUGAACAUAAACUCAGAAAACAGGCCUGGAUUGAAGAUGUGGAGGUGGAACUCAUCAAAGCCAUUCAUGGCUUGUAUAUAAAACUUGAAAAGAAGGUAAGAUAGCCCAGAGAAAGACAAGAGCAAUGAAUUUGAGAGAGAACUGAGGGCAACCCCAACAUUUCAGUGAUAGGCAGAGGAAGAGUACACAAAUGAAAAGUACAUAGAGUAAACAGUAUAACAGAAUUCCAGAGAGCAAAGAGUUCUAGAAAGUUGUGCCUGGUAUACAAUAGAGAGGUCCAGCAAGUGGAAUGAAUGUUCUCUCUGGAUUUGGCAAUAUUGAGUUUUUGUUGACUUCCGCCUUAGAUGUUAACUUGAGUGAUGAAGACUAAAACAAAUUGCAAUGUGUUGGUCAAUCAAUUAAAUCUGAAUGAUUAGAGAUGGUGAAUAUAGUUAGUAUAUGUAGUUAGUACAAAGUUUUUUAUUUGAAAAUGGGAUUGUAUUCUUUGUGUGCUAAGCCCCAGAAUGGGAAGACAGAAGAAAACACCGUAUGUAGGAGAUGAGGAAAAUAACUGCAAAAGUUAGAGGUCAAAGAUAAAUGAAAUAGAGGAGCUACUGAUGGAGCAAAGUCCUUGUUGACAAGAAAAGAGAUGAGAUCAAGUAUCAAUGUGAAAACAGACUGGCCUUGAUCAGGGGUAGAAGCACUUCAUCUCCUGUGAAUGAGAUAAGAAAAUGAAAAUAAAUUGGAGGUAAAUGAAAAUGUCAAUACAUUUGAAAGGAGGAAGAAGAAACUAUAUUAGUUUAUUCUAAGUAACUUUAAUUAUGGUUUUGAAUUUGUUGGUAUGGCAGUAGUAAGAAAAGUAUGGGUGGGUAGGAGACUUAAGAUAAUAGGUGAUCUAGUUAGGUAGGGAAAUGCAAGAGCAGUCCAAAAACAGGAAAAAUUACUGAUAAAUAUUACUGAAGUUAAAUAACACAAAUUACCUCUAAAUUAUGUAUUGAUUUCUCACCUGUCCUUUGCGUAGCUUAGGUCAUGUACAGGCAUCUUCGAGUUAGUAUUUCAUGAUUGUAUUCUCUGUGUGCUAAGCCUCAGGCCUUGGUCUCAGGUGUCGGCCUCCCCAGGUUUUGCUUUAUCCCCAUCUCCUGCAGACCUCUCUCCUCCUGCUUCUUGGUUGCUGCCACCACUCACUCCUGUCUGAUCUCCUAUUUCCCUCAAGACCAGCACGAAUAUGUGAUAAUUUCUUCCUCAGAAUUUCCUUUGCUGUUUUUUCCAAAGACAGUAAAUAAGCCCUCUUUUAAAUUUUAAGUUUCACUACUAAUACUAUGGAAAAAUAGGUAACAUAUACAAAAGUUAUACUUUACACACAUCUAAAAAUGGCAGUAAGUGGUUUGAUCAGAAAGAAUUAUGAAUGGAUACCACCUAGUAUUUCCUCCUCUGCCUAUAUUACCUUGGGGACAGAGGUCAUGAAAAGAACCCCUUCCUUCUAUUCUCUCAUUUAUUGAAAUUGAGGCCUGAAGACAUAAUCAAGGCAGAACAACAGGUGCCCCCUUGUCUCAAGUGGGUCAUUUGCAUCUUGAAGUAUCUCUGGAUUCUAGGUAAUACUUUCCCAAGGGGUUUAAGUUUCUUCCUGGAAUGAUCACUUUUGGAAUUUGCUUCACAGUGUGUUUCACUAGAAUUGCCUUUUAUUACACUGAAGAUUUGUCAAGUGAUUGUGCCCAGCUGAGAUUUCCGGAGAUGUAGGGCCAUCCAUCUUAUACAGCCAUGUGCCUGCUCUAGAGAGCCUCUCAGAGUAAAUACAUAAAGCCCAAGUAAACAAAUCAAUUUAACCCUUGGGAGUUCCCAUAGUGGCUCAGUGGUAACGAAUGCAACUAGUAUCCCUGAGGAUGCAGGUUUGAUCCUUGGCCCUGCUUAGUGGGUUAAGAAUUGUUUUCUAUUUGCUUGUUUGUUUUUUUGUCUUUUCUAGGGCCACUAGCUCGGGUUCCCAGGGGUUCCUGAGGCUAGGGGUCUAAUCAGAGCUGACUUUCGCCAGAGCCACAGCAACACCAGAUAUGAGCUGGGUCUGCGACCUGCACCACAGCUCACAGCAAUGCUGGAUCCUUAACCCACUGAGUGAGGCCAGGGAUCGAACCCGCAACCUCACGGUUCCUAGUCGGAUUCAUUUCCAAUGCGCCACUAUGGGAACUCCAAAAGUACACUGUGAUAUUUUUCAUACAUAAAUUUCAAACUAAUAUUUUAUAGACUCCAAUGACUAUGUGUUGAUUAUAUAUCUUUCAUAAGUGUAUACAAAGUUUUGAGAGAAUUAAUAUCUGAACGAUUUAAACACAAUGCUUGAAGAAUUUACAAUACAUUGAGUCAAAGACAAAAAUUUUAUGUAAGACAAAAAUAGCAAGAGUUCUAAAUAAAAAGGCAAAAUUGCACAGGGAAAAGAGUUUGAAGGAAACAUUUUGGCAAAAUGUAGUGGGUAUCAGCUGAUGCAAAGUUUGAAAAAAAUUCAAUAUAGGAGAGAUGGGAAAUAAGAAUGGGAAGAGAAAGGCAUUUUUCUGAAAACCUGGAGAGCCUCAUGAAACUUCGUCAUAACAGAAUGAAAUCAAUUGUCAUUUGACAAACCAUAAAUGAAAAUUGCUCAAAGAAUAUCAAAAAUAAAAUAAUGUUUAGCUGAAUAUAUAGGAGGAAAAUACAUAGUGAUGUAUAUGUCCUAUAGGUAUUUAAAAUUUUAUUCUAGGCCUGCUUGCAUAUGGUAAAUAAAUGAUGUAAGUUUGGGAAAAAAAAUUACUUCAUAAAAAUAGCCUAAUCCCUAUUAACAUCCUGUAAACAGUUUUUUAGUGAAAAACAAUUCAUUAGUGACAUUAUGUUUGUCAUUUUUAAUCAACUGUAAUGCCAUGUUAAAAUCUGACAAAUAUACUUCAGAUAGAUUAAAAAAAAAAAAAAAAAAAAAAAAAAAA
This 4648-nucleotide long non-coding RNA is filed under the name Sus scrofa (pig). RNAcentral describes it as "lncRNA (ENSSSCG00035021560.1, ENSSSCG00065024190.1)". Lineage: Eukaryota; Metazoa; Chordata; Mammalia; Artiodactyla; Suidae. The record is from RNAcentral.